CGCGAUCCUGAACUCCUCUUCUCACGAUUCUUCAUCGUCGCCCCUCCUUUUUGCCCUUCCACGCCGGUGCCACCUUGUUGGGACGAGGGUGCUAUCGGUGCCACAAUCACUAGUGGAUUAGGGCUUCUGACGAGGGCUGUUAGGUUGAAGGUUCGAAUCGUACCGAAGCCAAGAUUUAUCCUUGAAAUCGCAAAGAAGGCAAGUAUUUUCUUCCCUUGUAGGUAUGAGAUUAGGGUUUCUUUGGUUUUGCACUGUCCUUCAAGAGGAUUCUUCGGAUGUGAUUGGUGGGUGAGUAAGCUAUGAUGGUUUCUUUGUGUUGCUGGAAUUUCAGGGACAAAUUUGGGAGAAUUGAGUUAGGGUGUUUGCGUGUUUUCUCUUCUUCUGUUUAGUUCCGAAUUUCAGAGAUGUGGGAUGUUUUGUUUUACAAUUUCAUAGCUUCUUUGUAAUGAUCUUGCCCCACUGGAAUGUGUUCGGGAUUCAUAGAUGGGUUCGAUUUUUUGCUGCACUGCUCUUUGUGAGAUUUUAGUUCUUCUGAAUGUUGAUCGGAUUUGGAAAAUAGGGUUUUGGAUUUGAUGAUGUACUCAUUCUUCCGCAAGCUAGUAGCAGAUCUGAUAGUUGAUAAAUUGAUUUUGAGGUUGUAAUGUUUCUACAUAAGGAAAUUUGGUUUAUUUGCAGUAGAUUUGGUAGGGUGCAAAACUGUUUUCGAUGUUGUAUUGUUUCUUCUUAUUGGUUCCAAUUUUUCUGCAGCAAAUUUUGUGAGUGUAUGAUUGGGUUUAUUUAAUAUUAUGUUUUUUCUCUGAUAACACAUGUUUUGGGAUAGCAUUAGAAGGAUAGAAAUUUGUGUGGAAUGGUUUCAGUUUGCUGGAUCUAACGAGAUUGAUGCUUGGGUUGUGAUCUAUUUGUUUAUUGUGUUGGGUUCAGUUUGCUUGACAAAUUGGAAUUAUUAUUUUGGUUAAGUUGAAUCUUGCUUUAUGUGUGAGUUUCAGAUUUUGGUGGGAAUGAAAAUGUGGCGUAGGGAGUGUGUGGUGGUGCUUGCUUAUCUCCUUGAGACAAAAUAAGUCGGUGGACUCACAAUGUAAAUGAUACAAGUAUAGGCACCAAGGAGGUGAUAGAGGAUGUGGAGGUGGAGUAACUGAGGAGAUGAGAUAGAAUACAUAGCACACUGUCCAAGGAAAUUAAGAGCAUGUUAAUAAAUGUGGUCUUUUGAUUGUUAUGUGGAUAUGAGUUGGAGACUAUUCGUUUUAUGUUUUCAUAUUUUGUCAUUGGAAGCUUAAGAAAUUUUCAUUCAAAAAAUAUAUGUUGAGAAUUAAAGUUUACAUGUGAUGAAAUUUUCUUUGGGUCUAAA
Molecule: long non-coding RNA, 1345 nt
Organism: Zingiber officinale
Lineage: Eukaryota; Viridiplantae; Streptophyta; Magnoliopsida; Zingiberales; Zingiberaceae
Exons: 2
Source: RefSeq, a predicted model, not a curated record